CGAUUUUGGCCGUUUUUGGCGCCCAGGUUCGUGCAGUACAAGGCCACGUCCCUGGAGAAGCAGCACAAGCACGACCUGCUGACAGAGCCCGACCUGGGCGUGACCAUCGACCUCAUCAACCCCGACACGUACCGGAUCGACCCCGGGGUGCUGCUGGACCCCGCGGAUGAGAAGCUGCUGGAGGAGGAGAUCCAGGCGCCCACCAGCUCCAAGAGGUCGCAGCAGCUCGCCAAGGUGGUGCCCUGGG
Molecule: long non-coding RNA, 247 nt
Organism: Onychostruthus taczanowskii (white-rumped snowfinch)
Lineage: Eukaryota; Metazoa; Chordata; Aves; Passeriformes; Passeridae
Exons: 3
Source: RefSeq, a predicted model, not a curated record